CCUACGGGGGGCAGCAGUGAGGAAUAUUGGUCAAUGGACGAGAGCCUGAACCAGCCAAGUCGCGUGAAGGAAGACUGCCCUAUGGGUUGUAAACUUCUUUUAUAUGGGAAUAAUAUGUUCCACGUGUGGGAUUUUGUAUGUACCAUAUGAAUUAGGAUCGGCUAACUCCGUGCCAGCCGCCGCGGUAAUACGGAGGAUUCGAGCGUUAUUCGGAUUUAUUGGGGUUAAAGGGAGCGUAGGUGGGUUGUUAAGUCAGUUGUGAAAGUUUGCGGCGCAACCGUAAAACUGCAGUUGAAACUGGGAGUCUUGAGGACAGGAGAGGUGGGCGGAAUGCGGGGUGUAGCGGUGAAAUGCUUAGAUAUCACGAAGAACUCCGAUGGCGAAGGCAGCUCACUGGACUGCGACUGACACUGAGGCUCGAAAGUGUGGGUAUCGAACAGGAUUAGAUACCCGAGUAGUC
RNAcentral lists this ribosomal RNA (460 nucleotides) under uncultured bacterium. RNAcentral's name for it is "partial 16S ribosomal RNA". It matches the Rfam family "Bacterial small subunit ribosomal RNA", at positions 338 to 795 of the family's 1533-position model. The record is from RNAcentral.